AGCAGCCGCGGUAAUUCCAGCUCCAAUAGCGUAUAUUAAAGUUGUUGCAGUUAAAAAGCUCGUAGUUGAAUUUCGGGAUCGAAUUGUUGGUCGUGCUUCGGUACGUACUGGCAUUAUUGGUUCCUACCUUCUGAAGAACCGCGAUGUCAUUAAUUUGGUGUCGUGGGGAAUCAGGACUGUUACUUUGAAAAAAUUAGAGUGUUUAAAGCAGGCGCACGCUUGAAUACAUUAGCAUGGAAUAAUGAAAUAGGACGUUUGAUUCUAUUUUGUUGGUUUCUAGGAUCGACGUAAUGAUUAAUAGGGAUAGUUGGGGGCAUUAGUAUUCAAUUGUCAGAGGUGAAAUUCUUGGAUUUAUUGAAGACUAACUACUGCGAGAGCAUUUGCCAAGGAUGUUUUCAUUAAUCAAGAACGAAAGUUAGGGGAUCGAAGACGAUCAGAUACCGUCGUAGUCUUAACCAUAAACUAUGCCGACUAGGGAUCGGAUGAUGUUAAUUUUUUAAUGACUC
Molecule: ribosomal RNA, 506 nt
Filed under: uncultured Glomeromycotina
Lineage: Eukaryota; Fungi; Glomeromycota
Description: SSU rRNA
Rfam family: Eukaryotic small subunit ribosomal RNA
Source: RNAcentral